Long non-coding RNA from Cucumis sativus (cucumber), 833 nucleotides. RefSeq lists it as uncharacterized. The record is from RefSeq and is a predicted model, not a curated record. Lineage: Eukaryota; Viridiplantae; Streptophyta; Magnoliopsida; Cucurbitales; Cucurbitaceae. The transcript has 2 exons.
GAAUUUAAAUUGAUGAAAUUCCAUGAAUAUACAUUUUCAGUGGUUUUGUUAGAAGUUUUAAUGACUUAAUAGCUUUGCUUCGUAGUCGUAGGAAAUUGUUUGUUUAUGAUAAACUACCUAGGAUUAUUUUAUACAUAUACAGAAUUGUUUUAAAUAUUGCUUCGUAGUCGAUAGAUAUAGUGUUUUUGUUUCAAAGAGUAGGUGAGUCAAAUAGGAGGACUGAUUGUAGAGACGGGUUUGAGAAAAGCUGAUGAGCAAGGAAUGAAAUUAUAACAUCCUUUUUGUCUUAGUGGUUAGGAAUGGAGCAUUGAACUCUAAUUUAAAAAGAAAUAAUAAUAUAAAUGUUUUGAGUAUUAAAAGUUUUUGAAGGAUUGGUGAAGAAACUUAUAAGCCUAAUAGGUGUUUUUAAAGGAACCAAGAAAAGAGGUCUGAAGGUUUUUAAUUAAAGGGAGUACUUGAAUAAAAAUUCUUUCGGGUAAUUGGUGCAAGUGCAAAGUUAGAUUCUGUUGGUUAUAAGCUAGAUAAGGGGCAAUCUUAUGGAAUUGCUGAGUUUGUUAGGUAUUAAAGGAGACCCAAAGAUAAGUUGAAUAAGAGAAUGAUUAUCUUCAAGUAGAUAGGAAGAUAAGUUUGAAUAAGGGAAUUUCAAAUUAAAGUACGAUAUUGGACUUCAAGUUUUUGAUAGAUUUCUUGUCAUUCUUUGGAAGAAAGAUUAGCAAACUCAUUGAAGUGCUAAUGAAAUGGACAAACUAAGCUACUUUCUUUGAGUAGCUGACAAUUGGCUAUGGAGAUUGAUUUGAGACCUGACGAUAACAUUAGAGUGUGCCAUUAAGAAU